GGCGGAGGUAGAGCACGCUUGGGUGAAACGGCUUUUAUUCCACGGCCCUCCUCUCUCAGUCCUGUCCUCGUUCCCCAUUUUCCUCCUCCCAAAUCAGGCCAGAUCCAGCGGUAACCACCGGAGGAGGCAAAGGUAACCGGCGCCACAACCGCAGCCAAAGAUGGGCGGCGAACAUUGGGAAGUGGAUCAACUGCCACCGUAGCUGAAGUUGCGCGGAGGAAGCUGAAGACGUUAGCCCGCGGGGGGGUUCGCUGCUCGUCGCCAGUGCAGUGAUUUGAGCUGAAAUAGAAGGAAGGAAGUACAUAAGAGUACUAAGAGGAUAGUUUAGAUGGUUUUGCUCAACCCUCUCAAAAUGCAUCUGUGUGGUUUCUCUGUUUUCUCUUAAGUUGUGUUCAUAUAAGUAACCAGUUGGCUAGUUUAUUGUAACAGUUGCACAGGGAUGCAAAUGUAGUUGGAUGACACAUAUACGUAUGUUAGUUGGCUAGCCAACUUAUGAAGUUGCACAAUAAGGGCUAACCAGUUGCACAUUCGAUGAUAUUCAGAUGGAUACACGGAUACACUGCGUAAACCAUGUUCAAGCAGUUUGUGUGUGUGGUUUCUUGGUUGCACAUCCAUGUGUGCCCUAUUUCCAAGGGUAUGCGUGAGGAGUUUUGUAGCGACCCGAUCCGAAUGGAUCAAGUCUCUGUGCUUAAGUGUCAUCCCUAGAUCGGUAUGCUGACACACACAGUACUCGAGGAUUUAUAACAGAGGUAAUUACAUGUAUAAAGUAACGAAAAUACUAUUACCUCAAUCCAUAUAGCGGAAGUAACAAUAAGGUUGUGUAUUCCCAUCAACACCAAUGGCAAAGUUGAGUGUAGACAUCGUAACCCUAACAUAUCACUUACUCGUCGUAAGAAUCCAUGAGAGCAUCUCCAGCCGCCCCCCAGGAAGCCCUCCCAAGCACGUUUUUGCGCGCCGGUGGAUAAAAAUCUUCCCACUCGUGCCCCCAAAGUCUCCUUUUUUGCCGGAUGAAGCAAAAAUCGGCGCCGGCAGCCCCAACCCAAACCCAGGAACCCGGGGGGCACCUGGGGGGCUAAUUUUGCCUUUUGCAGGCGCGCCCCCACAUGCAGUGACAUAUCUCCUCCCCCCCACCUUUUCGUCUCUCUCUCCCCACCUUUUCGUCUCUCUCUCCCCACCCUUUCCUCCUCCCGUCGCGCGCGUGCCUCCUCUCCAGCUCGCCCCGUCGGCCGCCGCGGCGCCUCCAGUCCUCGUCGACGCCGCACAGACGACAUCCCCGGCCACUGGCGUCGAGGGAGGAAGCGGUCGCCCGGCCACGCCCAAGAUCUCCUCCACCUCCUCCCGCAAGAAGCCGGAACCAGCGCCGUCGUAGAACGUCGUCCUUGUCCCGUCGGCGGCGCGGCCACGGGCGCGAGCGGGCGGCGUGGCCACGGGCACGAGCAGCGGCGUCCAUAGUGGGCGGGGGCAGCAGCGGCCAGCGGAGGCGGCGAGGACGUGCUGCUGGAAGGACGGGGCGGCUUGGGGGUGGACACGGCUGGGAAGAUUUUCAUCCCCAGGCCAAAAUCUUCGCCGGUAGCCCCCCAGGCGGCGAAAAAAUGCCUCCUAGGGGGCUCAACGGCAGAAGAUGCUCUGAGACAUUGCAGCCAUGUAGGUCAGUACAUUGAAUGUACUGGCAAUUUCACACUGUAGAGCAAUGCUGAGUAAAUGGCUAUCACUACAUGCAUAUUUGGUUGGUGGAGGCUCUAAGUUUAAUAUUUGCAUAAAACUAAUUUUUCCCUACAACAAAGAAAUAGAUUUUAUCUAACUACCAAGUUAAAUUGCCCAUAUAGAGAAGGUAAACCCAACUCAAUCCCAAAAUCACCAAAUCAUUAAUAACCCAACAAUCUCUUUAAAUAGAGUGAUGAGAUCAAUCAAAUUAAUAAGUAUCAGAUACUGAAGAUGUCCAUAACCGGGGACACGGCUAAUCAUGAUUAGUUUGUACACUCUGCAGAGAUUUGCGCACUUUUCCCCACAACUCGAUCUCCUCCGUUGUAUUUCUUACACUGCAUGAUGUUUGAGAAACGGAUGACCGAGACACAGUCUUUCCGAAGAGGUCCCCUUAACCGAUAGAUAGGCCGGUACACCUACAAUCCCCUACAUCUGCUAGCCCAUCAUGAAAAGGAUUCCCACAACUUACUCAACUAUGCCAGAGCACACGGAAGUUUACAGCAUGAAUAAUCUUUCGAUCCCUUUGAGCCUGGGUGGCAUUCCAAUAGGAUGAUCACACGGAUACCCGGGAUCUCCUAGGAACACUGGUAUAUCCCCAGGUGCCCGGGCAAGCCACUGGUAUAUCCCCAGGGUGCACCAACCAUUUUCACCCAGAUGUGUAUUAAAGUAGCCACCUUAAAGUUCCCUUAGUUAAAUGUAACUCUCACAUCUUUCAUGAAUCUCACAUACCAAUCCAUGUCUACGAGCAUAGCAAAGCAAUAUAAGCAUAACGUAUAAUACCCGGGGUUUGAUAAAAGACAAUAAGCUCCUACCUCAACAACUACUUCCCACGCCCACAUGUUACCAAAUCCUACUCAUGCAAUGUUUGAGGGUUGAAACUAAUGUAUAAAAAAACUGGGUAUGAAAAAUAUGAUCAAAGUGUGAACUUGCCUUGUACCGUUGAUGAAGAUUCGUCGCACUCAUAACUCGUGAUAGAUCUACUCGUCACACUCCGAUCAAUCUAUUGUAAGUAAGCAAUUGCAUACAUAAGCACUCAUGCAAAAGAAUCAAAGAAAAGAUCUCAAAAAACUUUGAAAACAAGCAAUUAACUCUUGCAACAGAAAACAAUUUCUAACAGUAUCAAAAUUGGGUGUAUUUGGUCUUAUCAGAAAGUUUAGGUCAAGAGCUUCAAUAGCAAAAAGAAUCAACUAAAUCGGAAUUAUAAAACUCAAGUUAUGAUCAAUAGAAGUUUAAAUUCAAAUCUGUUUGAAACCAAGUUUUAAACUGUCAAAAACAUGUUUAAGUUGGUUAUCUGGGUAGAGGGGAUCAUAACGAAGAAGUGGGCGUUGUUUUCGUUGGAUUUGGAUAAACGAGCAAAAAGUUAUGAGGGUUUAAAAAUCAGGGACUAAUCCGUGAUGAAAACAUUUAUGAAUAGGUCCCUGGCUGAAAAUUAACAGAAAAAGAAAAAUCUACGAACGAACAUUCGCUACAGAAA
Long non-coding RNA from Triticum aestivum (bread wheat), 3178 nucleotides. RefSeq lists it as uncharacterized. Lineage: Eukaryota; Viridiplantae; Streptophyta; Magnoliopsida; Poales; Poaceae. The record is from RefSeq and is a predicted model, not a curated record. The transcript is spliced from 2 exons.